AUGCUUGUUCUUGCAUGUUGUAUUCUUCAUUACUGCAUCUUAGACUUGGGUCUUGAUGAGUAUGUGCCGGAGGAUGAAUAUGUUGAGUCCGAUCAUGGUGUGGAGUCAGAUGAAAAUGAAGAUUGGCACAACAAAAGAUUGGAGUACACUAUUUUGGAUGUAAGAUCCAAAGCUAAAACAGGAUGGACUAUUUACGAGUCGGCCUGGGGUUGGCCCGGGGCCGAUUUAAGCCUGAUCUUCUUAGGAUCCCCUCAAAAAAAAAAGCCUGAUCUUCUUAGGUGCGGUUUGACGAGCGAAAUCGAAAACCAGCCCGGUCGAACUGCUGCGCUAGGGACCCAGAGUACACCGCCGUCGUCCUCUAGGUCCGGAUCUACACCACCCGCCGGCUCGCCGGACCGACAACACCGUCCGCCUUGGUCCCUCCAUCCGAACAAGAUGUACUCCAGUAUUCAGUUUUUCAGGCGAUCUAGUACAACAGGAUUUAGGAUGCCUCGACUUGGAGACCCAGAAGCAUCUUCGGUCUUGAGAAUUGCAGCAGAGUUUGGGUACCUCGCUUCCAUCGCCGCAGGAUGCUGGUUUGAUAACAACCUAUAUAGAUAUGGAAUGAGCUAUAUGCCCACCUUCUUAUAUUGGAGCAGAACCAUGCGGUGUAUCGGAGAUCCUUUCAUGGCAUGGAACCUUCUCUGGUUAGUUCUUGACGAAAUCGAUUCACCCAUGGCGCGGCCCUUUACUUGGGGGAGAAUUUAA
This 747-nucleotide ribosomal RNA is filed under the name Triticum aestivum (bread wheat). RNAcentral's name for it is "partial small subunit ribosomal RNA". The record is from RNAcentral. Lineage: Eukaryota; Viridiplantae; Streptophyta; Magnoliopsida; Poales; Poaceae.